CUUUUGCUCCUACCUUAUACUUUGUAAGCACUUAAUAUAAAUAUAUACUUGCAUAUGUAUAUAUAUAGGUACAUGCAUUUUAGGAGGUUGUUGAAUUAUGCUUAUAAUUAAUGUCUAAAUAAUAUAUAAUAUGUAUAUGAUUGUGCAUUUUGUAGCUACCAUGCAUCAUUUGGCUUGUGAGAUACAAACCCAGAAGAAGGUUCAGUUUAUCUUGGUUUGCAAAUUGGGAAUUGCUGAAUUGAGGUUUUUUUUUUAAUAAUUAUUUGAAAAGAAGUUAUAUAUAUAAUUAAUUUCAUAUGUGUGUAACACAAAAUAAUUUGUUGUUGAUGAUGUUUCGGAUAUGUAUCGUAUUUGGUGUGCUGUUAAUGGUUUCUGGCUCCUAUUGGUGCACUAAGGAAUAUCAUACUUUAAGCCAAGAAUUACAAGUUUUAUUCUUAAUUUCCUUCUCAAAUCCAACA
RNAcentral lists this long non-coding RNA (458 nucleotides) under Carica papaya (papaya). RNAcentral describes it as "long non-coding RNA (CPAP_LNC014180)". Lineage: Eukaryota; Viridiplantae; Streptophyta; Magnoliopsida; Brassicales; Caricaceae. The record is from RNAcentral.